CAGCUCCAAUUUCUCUUCAUUAUCGCAUAAAUCUUUCGCCAUUUACUAAAGGUUUCCGCGGAGGGGAACUUUUUGCGAGUGAUUUGUAUUUUUGGAGGCUCUGCUCACAGCAGAGCU
RNAcentral lists this small nuclear RNA (117 nucleotides) under Sinocyclocheilus rhinocerous. RNAcentral's name for it is "U5 spliceosomal RNA (ENSSRHG00000028013.1)". It matches the Rfam family "U5 spliceosomal RNA". From Rfam's summary of the family: U5 RNA is a component of both types of known spliceosome. The precise function of this molecule is unknown, though it is known that the 5' loop is required for splice site selection and p220 binding, and that both the 3' stem-loop and the Sm site are important for Sm protein binding and cap methylation. The record is from Rfam by way of RNAcentral. Lineage: Eukaryota; Metazoa; Chordata; Actinopteri; Cypriniformes; Cyprinidae.